RNAcentral lists this ribosomal RNA (429 nucleotides) under bacterium. RNAcentral's name for it is "partial 16S ribosomal RNA". It matches the Rfam family "Bacterial small subunit ribosomal RNA", at positions 355 to 776 of the family's 1533-position model. The record is from RNAcentral.
UGGGGAAUUUUGGACAAUGGGCGAAAGCCUGAUCCAGCAAUGCCGCGUGUGUGAAGAAGGCCUUCGGGUUGUAAAGCACUUUUGUCCGGAAAGAAAUGGCUCUGGUUAAUACCUGGGGUCGAUGACGGUACCGGAAGAAUAAGGACCGGCUAACUACGUGCCAGCAGCCGCGGUAAUACGUAGGGUCCAAGCGUUAAUCGGAAUUACUGGGCGUAAAGCGUGCGCAGGCGGUUGUGCAAGACCGGUGUGAAAUCCCCGAGCUUAACUUGGGAAUUGCAUUGGUGACUGCACGGCUAGAGUGUGUCAGAGGGGGGUAGAAUUCCACGUGUAGCAGUGAAAUGCGUAGAGAUGUGGAGGAAUACCGAUGGCGAAGGCAGCCCCCUGGGAUAACACUGACGCUCAUGCACGAAAGCGUGGGGAGCAAACAGG